RNAcentral lists this ribosomal RNA (497 nucleotides) under uncultured bacterium. RNAcentral describes it as "partial 16S ribosomal RNA". It matches the Rfam family "Bacterial small subunit ribosomal RNA", at positions 28 to 507 of the family's 1533-position model. The record is from RNAcentral.
GGUGAACGCUGGCGGCGUGCCUAAUACAUGCAAGUCGAGCGAACAGACGAGGAGCUUGCUCCUCUGACGUUAGCGGCGGACGGGUGAGUAACACGUGGAUAACCUACCUAUAAGACUGGGAUAACUUCGGGAAACCGGAGCUAAUACCGGAUAAUAUAUUGAACCGCAUGGUUCAAUAGUGAAAGACGGUUUUGCUGUCACUUAUAGCUGGAUCCGCGCCGCAUUAGCUAGUUGGUAAGGUAACGGCUUACCAAGGCAACGAUGCGUAGCCGACCUGAGAGGGUGAUCGGCCAGCCUGGAACUGAGACACGGUCCAGACUCCUACGGGAGGCAGCAGUAGGGAAUCUUCCGCAAUGGGCGAAGGCCUGACGGAGGAACGCCGCGUGAGUGAUGAAGGUCUUCGGAUCGUAAAACUCUGUUAUUAGGGAAGAACAAAUGUGUAAGUAACUAUGCACGUAUUGACGGUACCUAAUCAGAAAGCCACGGCUAACUACGUG